AUGUAAAAGUUGUGUAAGUCGCUCUGGAUAAGAGCAUCUGCUAAAUUCCUGUAA
This is a non-coding RNA of Anguilla japonica (Japanese eel), 54 nucleotides long. Lineage: Eukaryota; Metazoa; Chordata; Actinopteri; Anguilliformes; Anguillidae. The record is from Rfam.